This 559-nucleotide non-coding RNA is filed under the name Drosophila virilis. RNAcentral's name for it is "Eukaryotic large subunit ribosomal RNA". It matches the Rfam family "Eukaryotic large subunit ribosomal RNA", at positions 1 to 543 of the family's 3401-position model. Lineage: Eukaryota; Metazoa; Arthropoda; Insecta; Diptera; Drosophilidae. The record is from Rfam by way of RNAcentral.
CAACCUCAACUCAUAUGGGACUACCCCCUGAAUUUAAGCAUAUUAAUUAGGGGAGGAAAAGAAACUAACAAGGAUUUUCUUAGUAGCGGCGAGCGAAAAGAAAUCAGUUCAGCACUAAGUCACUUUGUCUAUAUGGCAAAUGUGAGAUGCAGUGUACGGAACAUCAACAUUCUAGUAUGAGAAGUUAACGAUUUAAGUCCUUCUUAAAUGAGGCCAUUUACCCAUAGAGGGUGCCAGGCCCGUAUAACGUUAAUGAUUACUAGAUGGUGUUUCCAAAGAGUCGUGUUGCUUGAUAGUGCAGCACUAAGUGGGUGGUAAACUCCAUCUAAAACUAAAUAUAACCAUGAGACCGAUAGUAAACAAGUACCGUGAGGGAAAGUUGAAAAGAACUCUGAAUAGAGAGUUAAAUAGUACGUGAAACUGCUAAGAGGUUAGCCCGAUGAACCUGAAUAUCCGUUAUGGAAAAUUCAUCAUUAGAAUUGUAUAAUUUUAACAAUAUUAUAUAUAAUGGGCAUUUUUUCCAUAUAAGGACAUUGUAAUCUAUUAGCAUAAAUAUUUA